GGCUCAGGAUGAACGCUGGCGGCGUGCCUAACACAUGCAAGUCGAACGAAGAGGCCCCUUCGGGGGUACUUCAGUGGCGGACGGGUGAGUAACACGUAGGUGACCUGCCCCGAAGUGUGGAAUAACAGUCCGAAAGGAUUGCUAAUACCGCAUGCGGUCUGUGAGGUUAGAGUCUUGCAGACUAAAGCACACCCGCAAGGGUAUGUGCUUCGGGAGGGGCCUGCGCCCCAUCAGCUUGUUGGUAGGGUAAUGGCCUACCAAGGCAACAACGGGUAGGGGGCCUGAGAGGGUGACCCCCCACAUUGGCACUGACACACGGGCCAAACUCCUACGGGAGGCAGCAGUGAGGAAUAUUGCUCAAUGGGCGAAAGCCUGAGGCAGCAACGCCGCGUGCGCGAUGAAGGCCUUCGGGUCGUAAAGCGCUUUUGAGAGGGACGAGAUAGGACGGUACCUCUCGAAUAAGUCACGGCUAACUACGUGCCAGCAGCCGCGGUAAAACGUAGGUGGCAAGCGUUAUCCGGAUUCACUGGGCGUAAAGCGCGUGCAGGUGGCUUCGUAAGUUGGACGUUAAAUCUCCCGGCCUAACCGGGAGGAGUCGUUCAAUACUGCGGGGCUGGAGGGCAGAAGAGGGGGGUGGAAUUGCUGGUGUAGUGGUGAAAUGCGUAGAUAUCAGCAGGAACACCUGUGGCGAAAGCGGCCCCCUGGUCUGCUCCUGACACUCAGACGCGAAAGCUAGGGGAGUGAACGGGAUUAGAAACCCCGGUAAUCCUAGCCGUAAACGAUGGAUGCUAGGUGUGGGUGGUAUUGACCCCAUCCGUGCCGAAGCCAACGCGUUAAGCAUCCCGCCUGGGGACUACGGCCGCAAGGU
This 868-nucleotide ribosomal RNA is filed under the name uncultured bacterium. RNAcentral's name for it is "bacterial SSU rRNA". It matches the Rfam family "Bacterial small subunit ribosomal RNA", at positions 21 to 894 of the family's 1533-position model. The record is from RNAcentral.